Molecule: ribosomal RNA, 528 nt
Filed under: Opacuincola delira
Lineage: Eukaryota; Metazoa; Mollusca; Gastropoda; Littorinimorpha; Hydrobiidae
Description: partial 16S ribosomal RNA
Rfam family: Bacterial large subunit ribosomal RNA
Source: RNAcentral
CGCUUUUUGAAACAAAAAUGUAAAAAGUCGGACCUGCCCAGUGAUAUAUAAUUUAACGGCCGCAGUACUCUGACUGUGCAAAGGUAGCAUAAUCAUUUGCCUUAUAAUUAAAGGCUAGUAUGAAUGGUUUGACGAAAAUGAUGCUGUCUCUUUUUAAUUUUAUAGAACUUGAUUUUUGGGUGAAGAAGCCUAAAUUAAAUUGAAAGACAAGAAGACCCUAUCGAGCUUAAAAAAAUUUUAUUAAAAUAUAUGAUAUAAGAUCAAUUAUAAUAAAAAAUUUUAGUUGGGGCGACUACGGAACAAGUAAAGCUUCCGUUAUUAUAUUAAAAGCUUUUUAGCCAUGAUCCAAAAUUUUUGAUUAAAAGAAUUAGUUACCGUAGGGAUAACAGCAUAAUCUUUUUUGAGAGUUCUUAUCGAAAAAAAGGUUUGUGACCUCGAUGUUGGACUAGAAUAUCCUAAAGAUGCAGAAGUCUCUAAGGGUUGGUCUGUUCGACCAUUAAUAUUCUACGUGAUCUGAGUUCAGACCGG